UUUAUUGGAGAGUUUGAUCCUGGCUCAGGACGAACGCUGGCGGCGUGCCUAAUACAUGCAAGUCGAGCGGACUUUAAAA
This 79-nucleotide ribosomal RNA is filed under the name Bacillus sp. B1-b2. RNAcentral describes it as "partial 16S ribosomal RNA". It matches the Rfam family "Bacterial small subunit ribosomal RNA", at positions 1 to 78 of the family's 1533-position model. Lineage: Bacteria; Bacillati; Bacillota; Bacilli; Caryophanales; Bacillaceae. The record is from RNAcentral.